UCUGGUUCAAGACAGCUUCUCCAGGUCAGCCCACAGUGAUUCGUGGCUUACCAAAACACAAACGUAAAGGUAGCAAGGGCAGCACAGGAGAAAAGGAAAAGAUGCUGGUGCAACGAGAAUGAAACUGUAACAUUUGUCUUCUCACGUCCCCGAAAGCUGCGGGAACCACAAGUUUCUAAAGGACCUGGAAGAGUGAGCUGUGUGUUGUAUUCACAGAAAGGGGUGGACAUCCCCCCAAAUCAUCUUGUAAGAACUCUGAAUUUUAGCUGGUUACAUGUCUGUCCAGUCAAAGACUACAUUUCCCAGACUCCCUUUCAGCUAACAUGGCCACGUAAUUAAAUUAUGGCUUUGGUCGUGAUGUUUGCAAACUCCCAGGUAAACCUUUAAAGGAAACUACUUGCCUUUUAUUUUCUCUUUCCUCCAUCCCAAAGCUGGACCACGGAGGUGAUGGAUGGUGGUAAGGCAGGCACAGGCUCAGAAAGGUGGAACAUUCAUACAGAAAGUUUCUGGGUUCUCUAAUAGUGCCUGGAGUAGGACUCUAUCAUGCAUCUGAUGUGCCUAUCAGUUUUGACUUUUACAGGGGAGAAAAGUAAACCACUUAUUUUGUAUAAGCUCUUUCUUUUUUGGUCUCUGUUAAAGCAGCUUUACCAAUAUUCUAAUUUGUAUAGAUACCAACUCAACAACUCAAAUGUGAGUGCUGUUCCUAUUUUGGUCAGUCAGCACAGUAUCUUACCAGGAUAUCAUAUGAUGGAAGGAAUAGAAAUUAACAUCCUUUCCUGUGAGUUAACCCUUGCAUUAUCCCCUCUUCUUUUUUAGGGCUCUGCCCUGUCCUGCCCCACAUUAUACUUUAUUCCCAUAUAAAAACCAAAGGUCAAGGCAAGAUCUGGAUUGAAAUUACAUUUAUUUACCUAUACAAUGGGAUUUCUGCCAACAAUUAAAACCUUGAUUUUCUAUGCUGCUGAUGCUUUGUUUUAGGGCAGAGUAAUUUUCAGAUAGGUUUGUAUUAUAUAUACACGUAGCUAUAUAUGAUGCAUUCAUCCACCCAUCCAUCCAUCCAUUCUUUUCUGGAGUAAUUUGGCCAUGUAGUGUGUACAGGGAACUAUUCAAAUAAAAUAAGAACCAAUAUAUGAUAAGAGAUCAAAUGGGUUACAAUUCAUUGAUUCAUAUUCACAGAUGGAUGAACAGAACAAAUGAAACACAACUUAAUCUUAAAAUUCCUUAAAAGAAAUAGAAAUUAAAAAUCCAACAUAAACCAUUGUUAUGAAUGACUUACCAUUUGGAAUUUCCUCUAUUUCUAUAAAUGUAAUGAUUGAUGCUUUUGUAGCAUAAAAACCAUAGCCCCAUGUGAAAUAUAUUGAUACAUUAUUAACUAGCAUAGGCUCUGUUUCUCUUUUUGUACCUGAAUUCAGUGUAGACAUGUAAAUGUCUGAUUGUCUGGCUGGAAACAACUGAAGUUGCAUAAAGGAUUUGCCAUUUUUAUCAUGGCACUAACUGGAUUUCAGAAGGUUUUUUUCUACUUAUCUGGUUCUGGAGGUAACAUACUGCAUAUAUCAUUUGUGAACUAUUGGUACAUGUGGGUUUUCUAGGAAAGGGUAAGGAUUCUAAAACCAAGAACAUGUUCUCAGUUACAAUCUCUUUUUUUACUUACGUAUAAUCAGAAACACAUGUAACUUUUCCUAAAGGAACAAUAACAGCUCACUCCCCUAUGCUAAAUACCAAAAAUCACAAACC
Lutra lutra (Eurasian river otter) is the source of this 1731-nucleotide long non-coding RNA. RefSeq lists it as uncharacterized. The transcript has 3 exons. The record is from RefSeq and is a predicted model, not a curated record. NCBI's taxonomy places the organism in Eukaryota, Metazoa, Chordata, Mammalia, Carnivora, Mustelidae.